This 504-nucleotide ribosomal RNA is filed under the name uncultured Oscillospiraceae bacterium. RNAcentral's name for it is "bacterial SSU rRNA". It matches the Rfam family "Bacterial small subunit ribosomal RNA", at positions 15 to 507 of the family's 1533-position model. The record is from RNAcentral. Lineage: Bacteria; Bacillati; Bacillota; Clostridia; Eubacteriales; Oscillospiraceae.
GUAUCCUGCUCAGAGUGAACGCUGGCGGCGUGCUUAACACAUGCAAGUCGAACGGGGACGACCCCCUAAAACGGAGUUUUCGGUACGAACGUAGCGGGGAAGUGCCUAGUGGCGGACGGGUGAGUAACGCGUGAGCAACCUGCCUUGGAUGGGGAAUAACAGAUGGAAACAUCUGCUAAUACCGCAUGAUGCAGUUGGGCCACAUGGCUCUGACUGCCAAAGAUUUAUCGCUCUGAGAUGGGCUCGCGUCUGAUUAGCUAGUUGGCGGGGCAACGGCCCACCAAGGCGACGAUCAGUAGCCGGACUGAGAGGUUGGCCGGCCACAUUGGGACUGAGACACGGCCCAGACUCCUACGGGAGGCAGCAGUGGGGAAUAUUGGGCAAUGGGCGCAAGCCUGACCCAGCAACGCCGUGUGAAGGAAGAAGGCUUUCGGGUUGUAAACUUCUUUUCUCAGGGACGAACAGAUGACGGUACCUGAGGAAUAAGCCACGGCUAACUACGUG